Toxorhynchites rutilus septentrionalis is the source of this 4781-nucleotide long non-coding RNA. RefSeq lists it as uncharacterized. NCBI's taxonomy places the organism in Eukaryota, Metazoa, Arthropoda, Insecta, Diptera, Culicidae. The record is from RefSeq and is a predicted model, not a curated record. The transcript is spliced from 4 exons.
AGCAAGUAAACAGGACUCAACAGGAGAGUCGAAUUUCCACGCGGACUUUUGCUCCCACUCUCAUUCUCUCUCUCGCUAUCCGUUCGAGAUAAUCACGCGUUAGCGGCGCGAAGGAUGAGGAAAAACCUUUCGUCCUUGUGUAGUUAGCAUGUGUGUGGGUCGCUGUAUUGGUGUCACCUUCCGGAGAGAAUGAAAACGAGUCCUCGCGUGCUACGAACACAGUAAUCGAGACAUGCAUUCGUUUGCGUCACUUACUCUCGCGAGCGAGCGAGAGAGACGAAUCUUAAUUUGCAUAUAUUUCUAUAUACGAAAAUAAUUUUUCCUUUUAAUAUUUCAUUCGGUGAUAACUUCAUUCUGGUGUGAAAUAAUUGCUUCGUAACUUUUUACAUCAUUAUGCUGUCUACUUUGUUUAUGCAUGCAUACGCGAAUCAGGCAGCGAGCACAGCGGAGCCUUUUUUGGGCCGCUCCGUGCUGCUUGCGAGCUGCCGUAAGCCUGCAUGGGAUCAACAGCAGCCGCAGCAGUAACAGCAAGGGGCAAAAGUUUGGCACGAUGCCGUGAAGUGAUGAUUAGUCAAGAAAAGGUGUAUUUGACGCUGGUGAACAAUCCUGCGUUCUUUGGGCGGGUGUUCAGGAACAAGUGAAACAAUCCGUGUGUGUAGUAACAUCAUGUAACAGUGUCGGUAACAAUAACAACACCAUCCCAGACGUUGAUCCGGAUGUGUAGUGCAUUGUGGUGAACUUUCGCGGGCAGCUCCUUGACCGCUUCUCCGGGGUCAGCUGCGGAGGUUGUUGUUUAUUUCGGAAUUGUGUCCACGCGAGGGUUGACGGGUGUUCAAAUCUAAACUGGCUGGCUGGCUAGCGGGCUCGUGAUGAUGGUGUGGUAGUGGUGGUAACGUCUGAAGGGGCUGUGCGUGUGCAAAGGAAAAGCCGACCCCUCUCUGCACUGUUGUUUACCAGCAGUCAGUCAGUCAAGAGCGAACCAAACAAAAAUAAAAGAAAAAUAACAGCCUGGUGGACAAACCAGAUAGCAGUGGAAGAGCAAGAAAGGAUUGACCAAAACAAACUUCGCCCGCAACAUUUGGACGCACCCGUCUCCAUACCGUCUCCAGACCGUUUCUUCAUAUCGGAAAUAGCAACUAUAGCGGCAGCCGAAAAAGCAUAACAACAACACACAACCGGUCACCUGGCUGGCUGGUUGGCUGACUCGGGAAAAGCGGAAAAGUGACGACCACGAAAAAUGAUGAUACGAAAAAAUGGUUUGCCAAUAUUUAUGUUUGGCUUUUUGGUUCCACUGUACGAUCGCAACAAUUCAAGCUAGCAGGGUGGAUACACACGAUUUUAAUUCAAUGCUGAGCCACAAUGUUUAGCGGCGGUACUGCAGAGUGAUUCACCGAUACAGUAAUUUAGCAGCACAAGGCAUAACUUUCGGAAGAGGAUUUGGUUUCUCCAAGAAAACAGCUUUCCAUACAAUUAUUUUUGGUUCGCCACAAUACACCGCCAAAACGGCAACAAGCGCAAAAAUGAAACGAAGAGUUGACAGUUGGAUCGCAGAUGUCACCCAACCAUUGACACUGCUAACAAAAGCUGAUGCAUGCACUCACCACCAUUACCACCAACAGCUGAGAAGAGCACGAAUACGGAAAAAGGAGUUCCAACACCGAAUGUAACAUACGGAUGGCGGAAAUGAUGAAGCCGAAUACUAAAUAAAACGGGAAAACGGGCUGCAAAAAGCAGCUGAAAACAGCGGGAGAAGAUGAAAAUGCAACAAUUAAGUUCCUACUCUAAAACAUAGAUAAAAAUAUACGUUAUAAACGAGAGUGUAAUGUAAUUGUAAUCAUAAGUCGAUAUGACACGGAAGUCGCCGGUAUCGCUCACAGGAUUGCUUCCGGCCACCUCGAUCCUGUUGGGUAGUGAAACUGUAAAGAUAAGAAACUGAUUCGUUCCCUGGUGAUGGUUUGGUUCGCGGUGGUAGCGAGAUGUAACUUAAUUCGACCGAUCAGUUGAUCACGAUCCGUACCAUCCGGGACUUGGAUAAUUCUGACAACACUGCCUGAGAGUGGUUCUUUGCAGCGGCAUUCAACGGAGAAUCGCCGUUCAGUAUGCAAUAGAGCAAACCAGCAGUGCUGCCAGCAUUACCAGUGUCCAGUGGAGGGUCACUUUCCACGGAAAGGUUUGGAUUAUUUUUCGUAUCGCUUCCGCGGCGGCCGCGUCCCAAGGACGCCAGUUUUGCACCUCGCUUGCUCCCACUAACGAGACCGGACUGUGCGGUGGACCGAGCUUCCGUUUAUUAUACUUGUAAAAUUCAUUGAUUGAAGGAAAAGCAAAAUUGUAUAACUUGCCGACACAGAACAUAAAGCUACUGUAUUUUAACGUAAGGAGAAGACACUAACUUUUGUAUAGUAUGGAUUCGGAUGAAUUCGUAAGGGCAAUGUGUAAUUCAGUUUAUUUUUAUACUAUUGGAGAAGCUUUUGGGAGGACAUUUAGUGCCAGGGUGUGGCCGAUGAUGAUACUGAUCCUAGACAAGGGCCACAAUUUACGAGUUUGUGGUGCCGAAUUGUAAAGAGCAUAAUAAUAUUAUAUUUAGGGUGAAAUACAUCACACUUAACACUAACUGAUUAUACUUAAUGUAGUUGGCUUAAAGCUUUAUUUAAAGAAAAAUACAGAAAACACAAAAAAUAAUAAAAAAAACAAAAACACAAAAAAAUACAAGAGUGCAUAGAUGGAAGUUAUUCAGUUUAGUUUAGCGAGAAAACUCAAUCGCUUAGUGUACUUUUCAAUGUGCAAUGUUUAUAUAAGGAAAGAUUGUUGGUAAAAGAAAUUUGCGAGGUAUCAACAAAAAAUGAGAGCAAAACUCAAGUACUUUUCCUGAAGUCGACAGGGAAAGGAUUUCUAGUUUUGUGUCAAGUUGAAAAAAGAUCUACUAACGACAUUUGAAGGCGGCAGAAAGCGUAUGAUAAAUAAAAAGUUCCUAAAAGUCGAACCCCAAAUAAUCCGAUGGGUUAGGGGCGGCUAAACAAUUAAUCUUAGUGUUAUAGGUUUAAACCCGUAGUUGAUUCCGAAGGCGUCGAACUCACCAAGAUCUCGCAGAACACAUUCUUCGGAAGAAACGCGACCACACCUUGGAUCUGGGAAUCCUCCCGAAAACUUUUUUCUGCGUUUUUGUUUCUAACAGCUUUUUGAAAGGACAGACAUUCCAAAAUCGCACUCGCAAACAAGAGAAGAACAAUCAUUUUGGAGACACAUGAGGAAAUAUAGAUUGGCAAGAUUCGGCAAAUUUAUUGUUAGAUUCAAUCAUUUUGGAUCAUUGAUAAAAAAAAUGGAAAAACGAAGUACUCGCGUAAACUACAAUAAUAGUGUUUAGAAAAAUCCAGAUGAAAAAAAAGAGAGCGUUUGAACAAAUCCAAAACAAAUUUUGUUCCUACAAAAAAAAUUGAGAGGAAAAUUGAGAGAAAUAACGAAAAGACUCGACAUAUCAUGAAUGUUUAAUUUUGUCCUCGCAAUUUUUUAAAGAAAGACGCAUGAUUGCGCCAUUUUAAGGUCACUCAAUAUUACAACUAUCUCACUAUUACUCAUAAUAGAAGCAAACACAAAUGGUAUAUUCAUAUAUCUACUCGAUGUUCCAGCUAGUGUCCACCCAAUGUCCCCUUAACAAUUUGCCACGCAUGACUGAUACAGACAAGAAUUGCCCGAAAGAUGUGCAAUGAUCCUUUUUUUACGGCGGCAAACUCUCCUACGUGACACGGUUUUGUUUCCUAACCUAGUUGUUUCCUCACAGAAAAACCUGCAAACACUACUACAAAGUUCCUGUUGGCUCUGAGGGCGAAGAGCCGGCUAAGUUUCCUAACAAUUUUGUUGAUUUUUAUCUGUUUUAUUUUUCCCGAGAAUAGCCAAAGUAUCAGAGAGUUCAAUUCCGGAAGUUAACGAAAUGUACGAAAAGAUGUCAUUUCUGGGUAAUUCUCUUAACAGUGACCGUUCUCAAAAUUUGAAAACAAAAAAGCCAGAAGCUUGUGUAGCUCGAUAUCAUCAUACCGAAGUUUCGGUAAUGUCGUUGGUGAUUUUGACCGAACACGGCCAAGUUUUGUGUUGUCAAACUAACACAAUCAAACUAAACAAAUAAAAGUUCCUAAGAAAGUUCGAUGAAUCGUUCUAUUUUUUUUUUCGUUUGAUAUAAGCGGUUUCUGUUCAAGCAUGUUUCAAUUUGGUUUCGACCUAUUAAGUUUAAUAACAAAAAAUGUUUGUGAAAAUUUCCAGUCCUACUACAACGUUGAUCGAGAGUGAUUGUUUUUACGCAUAUAGUAACAACUAUAGAGUCACUAACACACGAACAGGAGAACAAGUGUUUGAAGAAAAAGAAAAAACUUCGGAAAGAAAAUUUAACAUGAUAUGAUAUGCAUACUAUUUUAAAUACUCAUUACUAUCAUAUUAAUGAUUAAUAGCUGACAGUGAAUAAACUGUAAAGAUAUACUGUUGAGAAGUUCGAUUUCCAGUCUAGUAGAAUGGUGGAAAUAAAAUGGCGAAGAGGAAGAAAAAAACAACAAACGGAACAAUAUCAGCUUCGAGCUGUAAAAAUGAGAGUGCGCAAAAUCCUUCAGCAUAAAAGGCAUGCUACACAAGAAGUGAGCAACAGUACUUAAACACAACAGUCACACACACACAACUAUUAUUAUAAUAAUUAAAGAUUAUUACAAGAUUAAUGAAAGGAAAAAAAACAAUUGUAAAAGAUAUAUUGUCAGAUGUAAAAGUAAAUGAAAAUAAAUAAAAAUAAAAACUUAUUUGGUAGU